This is an RNA transcript of Morus notabilis, 1399 nucleotides long. It is a transcript of the gene named E3 ubiquitin-protein ligase RZF1, with no coding region annotated. The record is from RefSeq and is a predicted model, not a curated record. The transcript is spliced from 3 exons. NCBI's taxonomy places the organism in Eukaryota, Viridiplantae, Streptophyta, Magnoliopsida, Rosales, Moraceae.
UCCGAAAACCAAACCAUUUGAAUCAAUCCAUGUCGGAAAAUCUAACUUCACUACCUAUUGCCGGGAACAAUGGCGGCGAAAGAACGUACCAGCCUUACUGGUGCUACCAGUGCCAGCGGACGGUCAGGAUUGCGCCUUCCUCGAACCCUUCCAACAUCGCCUGCCCGCGUUGUUUCGGGCAAUUUGUCCGUGAAAUCGACCUCCAAAGGCCUAAUCUCCUCAUCGAUUACGCCGGCUUCGAUCCCUCGCCGGGAGCCCGUCUUCUCGAAGCUCUCUCCCUCAUGCUCGACCCGCCUAUCCGCCGCUUCAACCCCGAUUCACACUACCAGAAUGAAUCCGAUCCCCAAACCUUCCCCUGGCUCCGGCGACUCCCCGGCAUCCACCAAGUACCAGAACGGUCCGAUACCUUGCACCCCACGGAAUCGGAAACUCAUCCGAGACGGCGACAACGCCGGAGCCGAAGCUUUGACGGAACCGAAAUCUCCGCUGAACCGGAGCCUGCUGACGGAACUAGAAACGGGUCCCGGACUUGGAUUAUUCUCCGGCCUUUAGACCCGGCCAGCCCGUUUGCACCGAUUUUCCGGUCAUCGGAUGAUUCGGCGCCGCCGCCGAGGGUCAAUGUCCGGGACUACUUUUGGGGGCCGGGGCUGAACGAAUUGAUCGAGGAGCUGACGCAGAACGACCGGCAGGGGCCUGCGCCGGUGCCGGAGGUGGUGAUAAGCGCGAUUCCGACGGUGAAGAUAACGGAAUCGCAUUUGAAAAACGACUCGGAGUACUGCCCGGUCUGUAAGGAGGAGUUCGAGGUGGGCGGCGAGGCGAGGGAGCUGCCGUGCAAGCAUAUCUACCAUUCGGACUGCAUUGUGCCGUGGCUGAGGCUUCACAACUCCUGUCCCGUUUGUCGGAAGGAGUUGCCGGUUAGCUCCGGCGGUCGAAGCGCAAACCGGCGGUGGUCGCGGUGGAAUCGGUUGUUGUCUCUUUGGCCUUUUCGGCCGAGAUAUCGACAAAUUGCUCCGGAGGGUGACGACGAUCAUAACUCCACCUCUCGACCUGGAUUUUAACUGUGUGUAAACUAACUGGCGCCAUGGGGGAUUGCUGUGGAAUCAGAUGUAUGGAGUAAUUUGGAUGUAUAGGUUGGUUCUGUAAAAAAUAACAUGGAAAAAAAAAAAAAAGAGUUUCUGUGGCUUUUCUCAUCUGUUUAUGUAAGAAAUAACAUUUGGCCAAAAAACGCCCUAUUUCCAUUGUGGAGAGACUUCUGCAUUAAUCUACAAUGUAUUAUGAAUAAACACGCAAAUAUGUUCCCUUAAAAGGCCAAUAAGUCUUGAAUUAAUCCAAAAAGAAACUGAAAGUAAGAAAGAGAUAAGACAUUCUUGCGAGAUAUGUUUCUGGAAAGCAAUGGUGU